AUUGAACGCUGGCGGCAGGUCUAACACAUGCAAGUCGAACGGUAACAGGAAGCAGCUUGCUGCUUUGCUGACGAGUGGCGGACGGGUGAGUAAUGUCUGGGAAACUGCCCGAUGGAGGGGGAUAACUACUGGAAACGGUAGCUAAUACCGCAUAACGUCGCAAGACCAAAGAGGGGGACCUUAGGGCCUCUUGCCAUCGGAUGUGCCCAGAUGGGAUUAGCUAGUAGGUGGGGUAACGGCUCACCUAGGCGACGAUCCCUAGCUGGUCUGAGAGGAUGACCAGCCACACUGGAACUGAGACACGGUCCAGACUCCUACGGGAGGCAGCAGUGGGGAAUAUUGCACAAUGGGCGCAAGCCUGAUGCAGCCAUGCCGCGUGUAUGAAGAAGGCCUUCGGGUUGUAAAGUACUUUCAGCGGGGAGGAAGGGAGUAAAGUUAAUACCUUUGCUCAUUGACGUUACCCGCAGAAGAAGCACCGGCUAACUCCGUG
RNAcentral lists this ribosomal RNA (490 nucleotides) under uncultured bacterium. RNAcentral's name for it is "partial 16S ribosomal RNA". It matches the Rfam family "Bacterial small subunit ribosomal RNA", at positions 30 to 507 of the family's 1533-position model. The record is from RNAcentral.